AGAUGCUUCUUGAUUUACAACCCAGUAAAUACGCUGUAUAAAUAUUGUUAUUCAAAAAUGCAGUUAAUACACAUAAGCUACCUAGCGUCAUGGCUUAGCCAUAAGAAUACACUGGAGUUUCAGUGGUUUCCCCUUCUGAUCACACAGCACUGGUGCUCACUGCCACAGGCUCACCAUCGACAGAGACUGUCAUGCUAAAGGCAAAAUUGCCCAAAUUAUAUACUGUCAUAUUCCAGCUUCACAGCAAUGAAUCCAUCACCUGCUCACAUAAAAUGAUACUGAGAGUUCUGAGAACAAAGAAGCAGAUAAUCACCAUGGGCAUAUGCUACACCAGAGAAUCUGUAAAGGUACUUUGAUGAGCUACAAAUUGUCCAGGUCCACCAGAUGCUCCACCGCGGGCAGCCAGGAAGAUAGAGGCCACGGCGGAGGAGGGGCUGAGCGCGACAUCGGGGUCACUGCCCCGGCCUCCGC
This 471-nucleotide long non-coding RNA is filed under the name Heterocephalus glaber (naked mole-rat). RNAcentral's name for it is "lncRNA (ENSHGLG00000048997.1)". Lineage: Eukaryota; Metazoa; Chordata; Mammalia; Rodentia; Bathyergidae. The record is from RNAcentral.